ACCCGGCUGGCUCAGUCGGUGGAGCAUGGGACUCUGGAUCUUGGGGCUGUGUGUUCAAGCCCCAUGUUAGGUG
RNAcentral lists this transfer RNA (73 nucleotides) under Ailuropoda melanoleuca (giant panda). It matches the Rfam family "tRNA". From Rfam's summary of the family: Transfer RNA (tRNA) molecules are approximately 80 nucleotides in length. Lineage: Eukaryota; Metazoa; Chordata; Mammalia; Carnivora; Ursidae. The record is from Rfam by way of RNAcentral.